Molecule: ribosomal RNA, 816 nt
Filed under: uncultured bacterium
Lineage: Bacteria
Description: bacterial SSU rRNA
Rfam family: Bacterial small subunit ribosomal RNA
Source: RNAcentral
UGCAGUCGUGCGAGAAGUCACCUUCGGGUGGGGAGUAAAGCGGCGCACGGGUGAGUAACGCGUGGGUAAUCUGCCUUCGGGUCCGGGACAACUCCGGGAAACUGGAGCUAAUACCGGAUAAGACCACGGCGUCUUCGGACACUGUGGAAAAAGGUGGCCUCUUCUUGAAAGCUACCGCCCGUAGAUGAGCCCGCGUCCCAUUAGCUUGUUGGUGAGGUAACGGCUCACCAAGGCGACUAUGGGUAGCUGGUCUGAGAGGAUGAUCAGCCACACUGGGACUGAGACACGGCCCAGACUCCUACGGGAGGCAGCAGUCGGGAAUUUUGGGCAGUGGGCGCAAGCCUGACCCAGCAACGCCGCGUGAGGGAUGAAGGCCCUCGGGUCGUAAACCUCUGUCGGAAGGGAAGAAGGGUGGAGAGGCGAACAGGCUCUUCGCUUGACGGUACCUUCAAAGGAAGCACCGGCUAACUCCGUGCCAGCAGCCGCGGUAAUACGGAGGGUGCAAGCGUUGUUCAAAUUACUGGGCGUAAAGAGCGUGUAGGCGGCUUGGUCAGUCGGAUGUGAAAUCCCGGGGCCCAACCCCGGAACUGCAUCCGAUACUGCCUGGCUUGAGUCUCGGAGAGGAAGGCGGAAUUCCGGGUGUAGAGGUGAAAUUCGUAUAUAUCCGGAGGAACACCAGCGGCGAAGGCGGCCUUCUGGACGAUGACUGACGCUGAACGCGAAAGCGUGGGUAGCAAACAGGAUUAGAUACCCUGGUAGUCCACGCCGUAAACGUUGAGUGCUGGACGUCGGAGGUAUUGACCCUCUUUCGGUGUC